GGCCUACGGGGGGCUGCAGUAAGGAAUAUUGCGCAAUGGGCGAAAGCCUGACGCAGCGACGCCGCGUGGGGGAUGAAGGUCUUCGGAUUGUAAACCCCUUUCGGGAGGGAAGAUGGAAUAGGGUAACCUAUUCGGACGGUACCUCCAGAAGCAGCCACGGCUAACUUCGUGCCAGCAGCCGCGGUAAUACGAAGGUGGCAAGCGUUGUUCGGAUUUACUGGGCGUACAGGGAGCGUAGGCGGUUGGAUAAGCCCUCCGUGAAAUCUCCAGGCUUAACCUGGAAAGUGCAGAGGGGACUGUUCAGCUAGAGGAUGGGAGAGGAGCGCGGAAUUCCCGGUGUAGCGGUGAAAUGCGUAGAGAUCGGGAGGAAGGCCGGUGGCGAAGGCGGCGCUCUGGAACAUUUCUGACGCUGAGGCUCGAAAGCGUGGGGAGCAAACAGGAUUAGAUACCCUAGUAGUC
RNAcentral lists this ribosomal RNA (459 nucleotides) under uncultured Nitrospira sp. RNAcentral's name for it is "bacterial SSU rRNA". It matches the Rfam family "Bacterial small subunit ribosomal RNA", at positions 335 to 795 of the family's 1533-position model. Lineage: Bacteria; Pseudomonadati; Nitrospirota; Nitrospiria; Nitrospirales; Nitrospiraceae. The record is from RNAcentral.